CUCAGUAUUCUUUGGCUCCUGAGGCCACAAUCCACCCCUGUCCAUCCCAUCCGAUCCGUGUCUCGGACAGGCUCUCCUGGUGUCUGUGCUCCCCACGGUGCACUGGGGCCCUAUCCCUCAUCUCCAGUCGGCCUGCAGCAGACUCGCCUUCUGGCUCGGCUCGCCCGGAUGGCUCAGUGCUCCAUCCACCAUCAACAACUGUGCCCCUCGCCCAAUCCGUGAGAAGUGUUGUAGUGCUGGAGCUACAAGUGGAGGUCCCACUGAGAUCAGGAAAGAAGGGAAGAGGCUGAAGGAUCACCCCGGAAGGCUGGUCGGCAUUCUCAUUAAGAAACACAGGCAGACAAUGACACUCUGUGCUCUCCAGCACCUCUCUUCUUCCCUGCCUUCCUAAUUAUGCCAGUCUAUAUACUUUGGGAAGCUUUAAAAGCCAAAGAUUCAUUAUGUUUUUUUAAAAAAUUAUGCUUUUACUUCCACUGGAAAAAAAUUAUAUGGGUUAAUAGUCAUGGUGGCUGCACACAGCGGCUUCCAUGAGAGAUGGAUCACCCCAGCUGCUGGCUGAGGCCAGUACUCCUCUGCUGGAUCCUGGUGCCUGGACACAGUCUUUUUGCACUGCACCUUGUCUUGGGCAGCUAAGAGCCAACUCAAGUAGAAUGGCCAAGGUACAGGUUUUAAUGGAUUAAUAUAUCAACCAUCCUUUAG
Molecule: long non-coding RNA, 699 nt
Filed under: Cricetulus griseus (Chinese hamster)
Lineage: Eukaryota; Metazoa; Chordata; Mammalia; Rodentia; Cricetidae
Description: lncRNA (ENSCGRG00015038457.1)
Source: RNAcentral